RNAcentral lists this ribosomal RNA (459 nucleotides) under uncultured bacterium. RNAcentral describes it as "partial 16S ribosomal RNA". It matches the Rfam family "Bacterial small subunit ribosomal RNA", at positions 338 to 795 of the family's 1533-position model. The record is from RNAcentral.
CCUACGGGUGGCAGCAGUGAGGAAUCUUGGUCACUGUGCGGACGCCUGACCCAGCCCAGUCGCGUGAGGGAAUCAGGCCCUACGGGUCGUAAACCUCUUUUGCCGGGGAGCCCGGGCCGGGACGCGUCCCGGCCCGGCGAGUACCCGGAGCAAAAGCAUCGCCUAACUCCGUGCCAGAUGCCGCGGUACUAAGGAGGCUUCGAGCGUUAUCCGGAUUUGUUGGGUUUAAAGGGUGCGUAGGCGGGCUUUAAGUCAGCGGUAAAAAUUCGGGGCUCAACCCCGUCCGGCCGUUGAAACUGGGGGCCUUGAGUGGGCGAGAAGAAGGCGGAAUGCGUGGUGUAGCGGUGAAAUACAUAGAUAGCACGCAGAACCCCGAUUGCGAAGGCAGCCUUCCGGCGCCCUACUGACGCUGAGGCACGAAAGUGCGGGGAUCGAACAGGAUUAGAUACCCCAGUAGUC